GACGAACGCUGGCGGCGGGCUUAACACAUGCAAGUCGAACGGAAAGGCCGCUUUCGCGGGGUACUCGAGUGGCGAACGGGUGAGUAACACGUGAGUAACCUGCCCUUGACUUUGGGAUAACUUCAGGAAACUGGGGCUAAUACCGGAUAGGAGCUCCUGCUGCAGGGUGGGGGUUGGAAAGUUUCGGCGGUUGGGGAUGGACUGGCGGCUUAUCAGCUUGUUGGUGGGGUAGUGGCUUACCAAGGCUUUGACGGGUAGCCGGCCUGAGAGGGUGACCGGCGACCUUGGGACUGAGAUACGGCCCAGAUUCCUAAGGGAGGCAGAAGUGGGGAAUAUUGCACCAUCGGUGGCAGCCUGAUGCAGCAACGCCGUGUGCGGGAUGACGGCCUUCGGGUUGUAAACCGCUUUCGCUCAUGACGCCGCUUUGUGUGACGGUAGUGGGUAAAGAAGCACCGGCUAACUACGUG
This 467-nucleotide ribosomal RNA is filed under the name uncultured bacterium. Its description in RNAcentral is "partial 16S ribosomal RNA". It matches the Rfam family "Bacterial small subunit ribosomal RNA", at positions 28 to 507 of the family's 1533-position model. The record is from RNAcentral.